Molecule: ribosomal RNA, 200 nt
Filed under: uncultured bacterium
Lineage: Bacteria
Description: partial 16S ribosomal RNA
Rfam family: Bacterial small subunit ribosomal RNA
Source: RNAcentral
UUCGGAUUGUAGUCUGCAACCCGACUACAUGAAGCCGGAAUCGCUAGUAAUCGCGAAUCAGAAUGUCGCGGUGAAUACGUUCCCGGGCCUUGUACACACCGCCCGUCAAGCCAUGGGAGCCGGGAGUGCCUGAAGGCCGUGACCGCAAGGAGCGGCCUAAGGUAAAACUGGUGACUGGGGCUAAGUCGUAACAAGGUAAC